GGUGUGAAGUGGUAGCUUAUUGAGGUUUUGAUUUGCAUUUCCCUAAUGAUUAGUGAUGUUGAGCAUCUUUUCAUAUGCUUGUUUACCACUUGCAUUUAUCUCCUUUGGAAAAAUGUCUAUUCUAGACCUUUGCCCAUUUUUGAGUCUAGGGUUUUGGGGUUUUUGGUUGUUGAAUUUUAGGAGUUGUGUAUAUAUUCUAGAUACCAAUCCCUUAACAUGUUUGUAAUUUGCAAGUAUCUUCUUCCAUUCUGUGGUUGCCGUUUUGUUGACAGUGUCCUUUGAUACACACAAGUUUUAAAUUUUAAUGAAGUGCAAUUCGUAUCAUUUUUUGUUGUUUCCUGUGCCUUUGGUGUCACAUUCAAGUCAUUCCCUAGUCCAGUGUCAUCAAGUUUUUCUAUGUUUUAAGUGUUUUAUAUUGUUAACUCUUAUGUUUAGGUCUUUGAGUGUUGCCAUGAGCUGUGGCGUAGGUUGCAGACCUGGCUCGGAAUUUUAUUCUUUUUGAUGCUAUCGUAAGAGGAAUUGUUUUCUUUUUUUCUUUUUUUGGCCAUGCCCAUGCCAUAUGGAAGUUCCCAGGCCAGGAUCAAACCCAUGCCACAGCAGUGAUCCAAGCUGCUGCAGUGACAAUGAUAGAUCCUUAACCCUCAGUGCCACAAGAGAACUCCUAGAAUGUUUUCUUAAUUUCUUUUUCGGACAGUUCACUGUAGAAACAGAGUUGAGUUUUGUAUCCUGCAACUUUGCUCAAUCCACUUAUUCAGCUGUCUUUUUUUUGUAGAACCUUAAGCACUUCCUAUAUAUCCAAUCAUACUAUCUGCAUAUAGAUAACUUUAUUUCUUACCCCCCAAAGAGUUCUCUAUAUGUCAUGUUAUAUUUUGAAGCUCUGACCUUAACUUUGAGAUUCAUUAAGUUUGUGUUUACAAGGAAGGAGAGGGGGUUGUCACAGAAAGUUCUAUUUGGAAGGGUGCUUAGAGGGUGCAGUUCAGCCCAAGGUCACACAGCGAAGUUGGGAGAUUGAACAGGCAUCUGAAACCUCAUCUGCAUUCCUCCUUCUAGCUUUCUAGGAGCAGACAAAGCCAAGCUGGCAGCGUGGAAAGCCCUUGCCUGGAAGGUUUCAUGGGACUGAGACUUGUUCCUUUUCUGCUUUCACCCAAAGCUUCCCUUAAACCUUAGGAAGUGGUGAAUCUGGCUGAAACCCAGUGCAUCCAUAUGGUUAAAAUAAACGUCCUGGGUGGCCUACAAUGGAAAAGAAUUGAUGAAGAGUCAGAUUUGGAAGUGGGAGAGAUAGAUUUGGAAGUUGGAGUAGUUUUGCCUUUGUGAUGUUGGGGCUUUUUAGCACCAGGUACACACAUGGUCUCAGUCUUCGGGCUGAGGGGGUCCUCCCGGUUGAACACCUCUAUACCUCUGCCAGCUGCUUGGAAAGGUGUCUGGAGGAAGGUGCGCUCUGAGGGGUAAGAUUAUGGCCCCAGACAGAUAAUAGGUGGAAUCACAGAAGACCGGAGCCCGAGGGUGGGGUGAAGAAACCAGGAGCUGUGUUAAGAGCCCAGGUUGUGAAGUAGAGGUUUGAGUUUAUAUCCUGGUCCUCUUUUCCUUUUGCCUACAAGAAAUAGUUUACUAGUGCUUACCGAGCAAGCCCUCACCAGGUGCCAGCUUUGCUAAAUGAUUUACAUACAUUUGUUUUUCUCCAAAAGUAGAGAAAACUUCUUUCCCUUUACAGUAGUCCCUCCCUAUUUACAGGGUAUAUGUUACAAGAGUCCCAGUGGAGGCCUGAAUCCAGGGAUAAUAGCGAACCCUAUGUAUACCAUGCUUUUUCUAUGUGUACACAUCUAUGAUUACAAAUUAGGCACGGUCAGAGAAUAUCUGAAUUGCCAGCAUCACUAUGCUUGCACUUUGGGGCUGUUAAUAAGUAAGAGAGUUACUUGAACACAAGCACUGAAGUACAGUGACAGUUGAUCUGAAAAUAGAUCAACUCCUGAGUGACUAGCAGGCAGGGCUGAAGCAUAUACAGUACAGAUAAAUUGAAAAAAAGGGAUGACUUACAUCCCUGGCCUGGAGGGUGGGAGAUUUCAUUAUGCUUCUUAGCACAGCAUGCAAUUUAAAAUUUAUGACUUGUCGGAGUUCCUGUCAUGGCACAGCGGAAAUGAAUCCAACUAGGAACCAUGAGGUUGCGGGUUCAAUCCCUGGCUUCACUCAGUGGGUUAAGGAUCCGGCAUUACCGUGAGCUGUGGUGUAGGUCGCAGACCCGGCUCGGAUCUGGCGUUGCUGUGGCUGUGGUGUAGGCUGGCAGCUGCAGCUCCGAUGAGACCCCUAGCCUGGGAACCUCCAUAUGACAUGGUAUCCCCCUACCCCCCAUCACUGCCACUUUUACUUUUUUUCCUUUACUGUUGGACACAGGGUCUAGGUUUACACUGAUAUCCAAGGACUUGAAGCAUCAUCACAGCCCCCUUGUGAAGAACAGGAGCACAGAGUCAGGUGAUACAGUCAACUCAACAGCAGAUAUUCAAGAUGAGGGAGCACAAAUGCCUUUAAAAGCUCUUUCCUAAAUCAGAGUGUUAGAAGCAAGGUAGAUGUCCUUAUAUAAUGUUCUUAGGCUUCAGAGGAGGGGCCCUAGCUACAUUUUCCGUUAGCUUUCAUUAUCUAGAGUGCUUGCUCACUCCACAGCUCAUCAGUCUGAAGCCUAAUACAGAAGACACUUUUACUUUCAGUUCCUUGAAAAGCAUCUGUAAGAAGCCAUCUCUCCUGAGGCAGCUGAACCAUCCAAAUUACUUCCCCCUUUAGGAACAUUUAGGGAAAUAUUAAUAUUCAUUUUCCAGAUGUAAAAUGAGUAUUAAACUUAUUCUGAAGAGCCCUUCCAGCAUGUUCAUAUUCUGCCAAGCCCCAGUGUCCAGCUUGACACUGACAGAGGGAAAUGGGAAAACCAGGACCUUGGAUGAAUGGCUAAGGAAGUUGGGGCACUUUAAUCUGGGGAACUUAAGCAGGGAGGCUCCAUCUCCAAAUUCCAAAAGGAUGAGUGACCUGUGGGAAAAUCAAUAUCCUCUAUCUGGGUGUUCUGGGGAGAAAUCAGGAAGAAACCUGAUUUGGUUCAGUGGAAGAAACUCCUAGUACUCAGCCCAAACCAUGUUAGAGAGCUGGAUGCCAGUAGGUCGUGAACUGCCCAUCACUAGUUUGUGUGAGAGGGACAGACCUCAGGGUGACCGUAAAGCGAGACAGACUUGAAUUAAUAUCGCACUUAGUCCUGGCUGUGUAGGUUCAGGCAAGUAACUUAAAAUUCUGUUUCUUUACCUAUGAGAAGGGCACCUCAUUUCUUUCAUGAAUGUAUACAAAAAUUAAAAGAUGUCUGGGUUGCAGUGACAAUGUUUAGUCAUUUCAUUAUGACAGAAAUGCAACCCACAGCUAGCUUAAGCAAAAGGGAAUUUACUAGCUUACAUAACAGGGAAGUCCAGAGAUGGCACUGGUUUCAGACAUGACCAGGGUA
RNAcentral lists this long non-coding RNA (3469 nucleotides) under Sus scrofa (pig). Its description in RNAcentral is "lncRNA (ENSSSCG00065065890.1)". The record is from RNAcentral. Lineage: Eukaryota; Metazoa; Chordata; Mammalia; Artiodactyla; Suidae.